RNAcentral lists this ribosomal RNA (302 nucleotides) under Bacillus thuringiensis. Its description in RNAcentral is "partial 16S ribosomal RNA". It matches the Rfam family "Bacterial small subunit ribosomal RNA", at positions 1 to 290 of the family's 1533-position model. Lineage: Bacteria; Bacillati; Bacillota; Bacilli; Caryophanales; Bacillaceae. The record is from RNAcentral.
UUUAUUGGAGAGUUUGAUCCUGGCUCAGGAUGAACGCUGGCGGCGUGCCUAAUACAUGCAAGUCGAGCGAAUGGAUUAAGAGCUUGCUCUUAUGAAGUUAGCGGCGGACGGGUGAGUAACACGUGGGUAACCUGCCCAUAAGACUGGGAUAACUCCGGGAAACCGGGGCUAAUACCGGAUAAUAUUUUGAACUGCAUGGUUCGAAAUUGAAAGGUGGCUUCGGCUGUCACUUAUGGAUGGACCCGCGUCGCAUUAGCUAGUUGGUGAGGUAACGGCUCACCAAGGCAACGAUGCGUAGCCGA